UCCCUGAUAGCUCAGUUGGUAAAGAAUCUGCCUGCAGUGCAGGAGACCUUGGUUUGAUUCCUGGGUCGGGAA
This 72-nucleotide transfer RNA is filed under the name Bos taurus (domestic cattle). It matches the Rfam family "tRNA". Rfam says of the family: Transfer RNA (tRNA) molecules are approximately 80 nucleotides in length. Their secondary structure includes four short double-helical elements and three loops (D, anti-codon, and T loops). The record is from Rfam by way of RNAcentral. Lineage: Eukaryota; Metazoa; Chordata; Mammalia; Artiodactyla; Bovidae. RNAcentral also lists the same sequence under 2 other names.